CGACCGGCGCACGGGUGAGUAACGCGUAUGCAACUUACCUAUCAGAGGGGAUAACCCGGCGAAAGUCGGACUAAUACCGCAUGAAGCAGGGGCCCCGCAUGGGGAUAUUUGCUAAAGAUUCAUCGCUGAUAGAUAGGCAUGCGUUCCAUUAGGCAGUUGGCGGGGUAACGGCCCACCAAACCGACGAUGGAUAGGGGUUCUGAGAGGAAGGUCCCCCACAUUGGUACUGAGACACGGACCAA
Molecule: ribosomal RNA, 242 nt
Filed under: uncultured bacterium
Lineage: Bacteria
Description: partial 16S ribosomal RNA
Rfam family: Bacterial small subunit ribosomal RNA
Source: RNAcentral